RNAcentral lists this non-coding RNA (27 nucleotides) under Rattus norvegicus (Norway rat). Lineage: Eukaryota; Metazoa; Chordata; Mammalia; Rodentia; Muridae. The record is from RNAcentral.
UGAGAAAAUGACUCCACCAGAUUGGCC